GGUUGCGAUCAUACCAGCACUAAUGCACCGGAUCCCAUCAGAACUCCGCAGUUAAGCGUGCUUGGGCGAGAGUAGUACUAGGGUGGUGACCCCCUGGGAAGUCCUCGUGUUGCAACCC
RNAcentral lists this ribosomal RNA (118 nucleotides) under Helianthus annuus (common sunflower). The record is from RNAcentral. Lineage: Eukaryota; Viridiplantae; Streptophyta; Magnoliopsida; Asterales; Asteraceae.